RNAcentral lists this ribosomal RNA (492 nucleotides) under uncultured bacterium. RNAcentral's name for it is "partial 16S ribosomal RNA". It matches the Rfam family "Bacterial small subunit ribosomal RNA", at positions 29 to 507 of the family's 1533-position model. The record is from RNAcentral.
AGUGAACGCUGGCGGUAGGCCUAAUACAUGCAAGUCGAACGGCAGCACAGUAAGAGCGCGCCCUUACGGGUGGCGAGUGGCGGAUGGGUGAGGAAUGCAUAGGAAUCUUCUUUGUCGGGGGGGAUAACGUAGGGAAAGUUACGCUAAUACAGCAUACGACCUACGGGUGGAAGCAGGGGAGCAUCGGACCUUUCGCGACUCAAUUAGAUGACGUCGGAUUAGCUAGGUGGCGGGGUAAAGGAACAGCAUGGCGACGAUACGUAGCAGAUCUGAGAGGAGGAUCCGCCACACUGGAACUGAGACACGGUCCAGACUCCUACGGGAGGCAGCAGUGGGGAAUCUUCGCCAAUGGGCGCAAGCCUGUUCCGGCCCUGCCGCGUGGGUGCAGAAGGUCUUCGGAUUGUAAAGCUCUUUUGUUGGGAAAGAACAGCAGCGGGUUAAUCCGCCGUUGUUCUGACGGUACCCAAUGAAUAAGCCCCGGCUAACUUCGUG